GACGAACGCUGGCGGCGUGCUUAACACAUGCAAGUCGAACGGAAAGGCCCUGCUUUUGUGGGGUGCUCGAGUGGCGAACGGGUGAGUAACACGUGAGUAACCUGCCCUUGACUUUGGGAUAACUUCAGGAAACUGGGGCUAAUACCGGAUAGGAGCUCCUGCUGCAUGGGGGGGGUUGGAAAGUUUCGGCGGUUGGGGAUGGACUCGCGGCUUAUCAGCUUGUUGGUGCGGUAGUGGCUUACCAAGGCUUUGACGGGUAGCCGGCCUGAGAGGGUGACCGGCCACAUUGGGACUGAGAUACGGCCCAGACUCCUACGGGAGGCAGCAGUGGGGAAUAUUGCACAAUGGGCGGAAGCCUGAUGCAGCAACGCCGCGUGCGGGAUGACGGCCUUCGGGUUGUAAACCGCUUUCGCCUGUGACGAAGCGUGAGUGACGGUAAUGGGUAAAGAAGCACCGGCUAACUACGUG
Molecule: ribosomal RNA, 468 nt
Filed under: uncultured bacterium
Lineage: Bacteria
Description: partial 16S ribosomal RNA
Rfam family: Bacterial small subunit ribosomal RNA
Source: RNAcentral